CACAUCAUUGAAUAGGAGCAAAAUUUGGUGGUUGUUGUUGAAUGGCGAAACUUGAAGCGAAGUUCGGAAUGAUAGUUGACUCCGUUGGUAACUUCUUCUCUGGCAAAGACCAGCUUUCCUUGUGUGAACCUGCUCUAAAUGCAAGUGGUCUUGACAAAUUUCUUAAAUCAAUAGGAAGAAAUCCCUCAUAUGUUGAGAAUGAUGGUUUCAAGUUUGUGUUUGAUAGAAAGUUUAGACUAAUAAGGAUGUACACCAGACUAACUCGGUGAUUUUGCAUUAGGUUAACGAUACCAUUGGAACACUAGCUGGAGGCAGAUUCUACAAUUAGGAUGUCAUUGCUGCUGUGAUCCUUGGUACAGGGACAAAUGCAGCAUAUGUGGAACGUGCAAAUGCUAUUCCAAAAUGGCAUGGCCCUCUCCCGAAAUCAGGAGACAUGGUUAUAAACAUGGAGUGGGGUAAUUUCUGAUCCUCACAUCUUCCUCUAACAGAAUAUGAUAUAGCUCUAGAUGCUGAGAGCUUAAACCCUGGAGAGCAGAUAUUUGAGAAGUUGAUUUCUGGUAUGUAUUUGGGGAACAUUGUAAGGAGAGCUUUAUUGAAGAUGGCUGAAGAAGCUGACUUUUUUGUUGAUACAGUUCU
Molecule: non-coding RNA, 636 nt
Organism: Arachis ipaensis
Lineage: Eukaryota; Viridiplantae; Streptophyta; Magnoliopsida; Fabales; Fabaceae
Source: RefSeq, a predicted model, not a curated record